RNAcentral lists this long non-coding RNA (851 nucleotides) under Physcomitrium patens. RNAcentral's name for it is "long non-coding RNA (PPAT_LNC004199)". Lineage: Eukaryota; Viridiplantae; Streptophyta; Bryopsida; Funariales; Funariaceae. The record is from RNAcentral.
CCGAUCCUUUUCAAUUUUUUUUUGCUUUUUUUUAACUUAUGUUUUUAGAAGUGUGCAAAAUUUGAGUUAAGAUCAACGGUUUAUUCAUAAGUUAUUGAGGUUUAAAUGUGUUGUAGGAAUUACUAGGAUUUGAUUUAGGAUUUAGGGUUUGGAUUAGGAUUUGAUUUAGGGUUUGGUUAGGAUUUUAUUUAGGAUUUAGAGUUUGAUUUAGAAUAUUGUUAGGAUUUGGUUCAAGAUUUAGGGUUUGUAUUAGGGUUUGGUUGAAGUUUGGUUUAGGAUUUAAGGUUUGUAUUAGGGUUUGGUUAGGGUUUUAUUUAGGAUUCGGAUUAGGAUUUGGUUUAGAGUUUAAGAUUUGGAUUAGAAUUUGGUUUAGAAUUUGGUCAGGGUUUGAUUUAGGAUUUGGUUUAGAAUUUGGUUGGAGUUUGGUUUAAGAUUUGUUUAGGAUAUGAUUCAAGGUUUAGGAUUUUAUUAGUAUUUAAGAUUCAAUUAGUUUUGGCCUAAAGUUUGAAUGAAGUUUAAUAGGAUUUUAAAUAAAAUUAAAUUAAGAUAUAUUUUAGUGAUAAUUAUGAUCAUUUUAAUAUUUCUUUAAGAAUUCUUAUUGUUUGUUUGAAAUUUCUUUGAGGUUUUUUUGAAUUUGAUUAAGCUUAUUUAGCAUUAUUAUGGUCUAAUUAGAGCAUUGUUAGUAUUCUAUUACAAUUAGGAUUUUGUUAUUGCAAUUUCUAUUCUUCCUUCCACAGCCAAGUGCCUAGAGCAUUCUCAAGCAAGACUUCUUGUAUUACGACAUAUUUGGUGAACCCAACGUGAAGCGCUUGAGGUAGAAGGAAUUUAGUUUUCUUGGAUUAUUUGAAUUU